RNAcentral lists this long non-coding RNA (1898 nucleotides) under Vigna radiata. RNAcentral's name for it is "long non-coding RNA (VRAD_LNC015347)". Lineage: Eukaryota; Viridiplantae; Streptophyta; Magnoliopsida; Fabales; Fabaceae. The record is from RNAcentral.
AAAUAUCACGUGGGAAAAAGGCUCUGGCAGAUAAGCUGCCUUCGUCACACGCGCAAAAGAGAGAGAGAGAGAGAGCUCAAAGCUCUUCUGGAAACUAGAGAGAGAAGAAGCGUGGAAGUCCUUGCAAGCGAUCAACCAUGGAUGUUGGGAGGAGAAGAGAUGGAGAUCUACACAACGGCAUCAUGAAAGGUAAGAAAAGAAUAAACUUUGUUUGAUUCUCUUAAAUGAUAUUUUUGCAUCAUACAACUGUUGAAAAUGAAAGGGGAAACUCUAUUUAUAGAGUUUAUGGGAAGAAGGGAAAAACCAAAAAUCAUAAAACCUUAACUAACUAAAAUAAAUUGAUUAUUGUCUUUAGACAGUAAUCUAACCAAUUAUAUUCGGUCUCAAUACCUUUAUCUUAUUAUCUCACGUAUUGAUUGCUUUAUUUUUCACUUUAUUUUUCCCAUUUCCUCCUUUAUAAUAUAAUUAUUUUUCGUUUCCAUUGUUGUUUCAGUUUGCAGAUAGAUUGAAUGUUGUGAACAAUGGCUUCAUUCAAGGCCUUAUACAGUAUGUCUGUCUUUUUUAGAAGUAUAUAUCAUCUCGGUUAUGUAAAUAACCGAUAUCAUAUCUACUUUCUAUAAUGGUUUCCUAGACAACCGAAACCAACAAGUUGAUCAAAAUUUUAAAAUUGUCACUUGCUUUUUCAUUUUUUUUUCUAAGAAGGACACAUGACAUCGGUUAUUGGAACAACCGAUACCAAAAGGUUGAUGAAAAGGUUAAAAUUGUCACUGAAAUUUAUAAUUUUUUUUAUUUGAUUAAAAGUCUUUAGGCAUCAGUGUUACGAAUAAUUGCUGCCAUAUGUUUGUCUAGGGUUAAAUUCGCAAAAGAAACAUAGGUUACCACUUCAAAGUCUGUGAACUAGUGUCAUUGUCUAUUGCUCAACUCACUUCAUAUGAUUGUCGUGGUUUUUUUUUCGGUGUUUUUGUGUUUGUGUUUGUUCCUUAGAUUAAUCUGUUGUUAAUAUUUGUCUGGAUUAGCACUGUGACAGGAUUAUGGUGGGAUUUGAAAUAUUUCUCUUAAACAUGAUCUCCAUUCUUUUUCAUUGUUGCUCGCCUCUCACACUUCCAUUGUCUUAUAUUUGUCAUGAAAAUUUAUCUUUAAUACGAGCCUAUAAUUUUCUAGCAUGUUGUUUAUUUUUUGUAUGUUGAAUUUAUGAUUAAUUUUAUGCUUAAAUAUAUUUUAUAAGGUUGGCUAAUAAUCUUCCACUUUCCACUGGUCAUGAAUAUAAGUGACCCAAAUUGCUAACACCAAUUUCUAGGAUAGGGUGAUGGAAAAGAGAAUUCAGAUGAGGCUAAGAGGGUAAGAGAGUUAGGGAUUAUCGAAGAAGAGAACUUAACUGUGAUGGACGAAGCUCAAGCAACAAUGGUGAAAAACGAAGGACGUGACUCAGGCGAAGGACGCGACUUAGGCAAAGGACUCAACUCAGGCGAGGACGCGACUUAGGCGAAGAAUGCGACUCAGGCGGACGAUGAAGACUCAGACCAGUGUAAUGAACAACACAAAACGGUGUCCAAGAGCAACUUUGGAGAGAAUUAUGAAGAAGAGGUGUGCCGAAGUGUAGAAGAGAUCAUGGAAAUUAGAGAGAAGAAAAAUGUGAGCAUGGAAGGCCAAAUUAUUUCGCUCUUUUUUAGCUAUUUCCAUCCCAAUGCGCCAAAAGCAUUUGUUUUUUUUAAAAGAAAUCAUAACUUUACUGCAGUUUUUAUAAAAACCGCCUGAAUUUAUUGGAGGUUUCCAUAACCGCCAAAAAUAAACCUCCACUAAAAUAUAUUAUUUUUGUAGUGGUACGACAAAUAAUGAAAAGUAUUAGUGUAUAAUGACUCUCAAAUUUAGAUGACUACAAAAUAGAAAAACAAAGUGAU